Molecule: ribosomal RNA, 670 nt
Filed under: Dermocybe semisanguinea
Lineage: Eukaryota; Fungi; Basidiomycota; Agaricomycetes; Agaricales; Cortinariaceae
Description: partial ribosomal RNA
Rfam family: 5.8S ribosomal RNA (bases 271-424)
Source: RNAcentral
UUUCCGUAGGUGAACCUGCGGAAGGAUCAUUAUUGAAAUAAACCUGAUGGGUUGCUGCUGGCUCUCUUGGGAGCAUGUGCACACUUGUCAUCUUUAUAUCUCCACCUGUGCACCUUUUGUAGAUCUGGAUAUCUUUCUGAAUGCCUGGCAUUCAGGUUUGAGGAUUGACUUUUGUCUUUCCUUACAUUUCCAGGCCUAUGUUUUCUUCAUAUACACCAUGUAUGUUAUAGAAUGUAAUGAAAAGGGCCUUUGUGCCUACAAACCUUAUACAACUUUCAGCAACGGAUCUCUUGGCUCUCGCAUCGAUGAAGAACGCAGCGAAAUGCGAUAAGUAAUGUGAAUUGCAGAAUUCAGUGAAUCAUCGAAUCUUUGAACGCACCUUGCGCUCCUUGGUAUUCCGAGGAGCAUGCCUGUUUGAGUGUCAUUAAUAUAUCAACCUCUUCAUGUUUUUACUUGUUGAGUGUUUGGAUGUGGGGGUAUCUUUUGCUGGUCUCUUUGGAGGUCGGCUCCCCUGAAAUGCAUUAGCGGAACAAUUUGUUGACUCGUUCAUUGGUGUGAUAACUAUCUACGCUAUUGACGUGAAGCAGGUUCAGCUUCUAACAGUCCAUUGACUUGGACAAAUUUUCAUUAAUGUGACCUCAAAUCAGGUAGGACUACCCGCUGAACUUAA